GUGAGGAAUAUUGGUCAAUGGGCGGGAGCCUGAACCAGCCAAGUCGCGUGAAGGAAGAAGGAUCUAUGGUUCGUAAACUUCUUUUGCAGGGGAAUAAAGUGCAGGACGUGUCCUGUUUUGUAUGUACCCUGAGAAUAAGGAUCGGCUAACUCCGUGCCAGCAGCCGCGGUAAUACGGAGGAUCCGAGCGUUAUCCGGAUUUAUUGGGUUUAAAGGGUGCGUAGGUGGUUUGAUAAGUCAGCGGUGAAAGGUUGCAGCUUAACUGUAAAAAUGCCGUUGAAACUGUCGGACUUGAGUGUAAAUGAGGUAGGCGGAAUGCGUGGUGUAGCGGUGAAAUGCAUAGAUAUCACGCAGAACUCCGAUUGCGAAGGCAGCUUACUAAGCUACAACUGACACUGAAGCACGAAAGCGUGGGGAUCAAACAGGAUUAGAUACCCCAGUAGUCC
This 445-nucleotide ribosomal RNA is filed under the name uncultured bacterium. Its description in RNAcentral is "partial 16S ribosomal RNA". It matches the Rfam family "Bacterial small subunit ribosomal RNA", at positions 354 to 796 of the family's 1533-position model. The record is from RNAcentral.